UACGUAGGGUGCGAGCGUUAAUCGGAAUUACUGGGCGUAAAGCGUGCGCAGGCGGUUUUAUAAGUCAGAUGUGAAAUCCCCGAGCUCAACUUGGGAACUGCGUUUGAAACUGUAAGACUAGAGUGUGUCAGAGGGGGGUAGAAUUUCCGGUGUAGCGGUGAAAUGCGUAGAGAUCGGAAGGAACACCAGUGGCGAAGGCGACUCCCUGGGAUAACACUGACGCUCAUGCACGAAAGCGUGGGGAGCAAACAGG
This 253-nucleotide ribosomal RNA is filed under the name uncultured bacterium. RNAcentral describes it as "partial 16S ribosomal RNA". It matches the Rfam family "Bacterial small subunit ribosomal RNA", at positions 524 to 776 of the family's 1533-position model. The record is from RNAcentral.